UACGGAGGGUGCAAGCGUUAAUCGGAAUUACUGGGCGUAAAGCGUGCGUAGACGGUUUUGUAAGUCGGAUGUGAAAUCCCCGGGCUCAACCUGGGAAUUGCAUUCGAGACUGCAAGGCUUGGGUGCGGAAGAGGGAAGCGGAAUUUCCGGUGUAGCGGUGAAAUGCGUAGAUAUCGGAAGGAACAUCAGUGGCGAAAGCGGCUUCCUGGUCCAGCACCGACGUUCAGGCACGAAAGCGUGGGGAGCAAACAGG
RNAcentral lists this ribosomal RNA (253 nucleotides) under uncultured bacterium. Its description in RNAcentral is "partial 16S ribosomal RNA". It matches the Rfam family "Bacterial small subunit ribosomal RNA", at positions 524 to 776 of the family's 1533-position model. The record is from RNAcentral.